CACUUGGCUUGUGGUUCAAAUUCAUCUCCUCCUCACCCAAAAAAUUCGCACAUCCAAGGGAUCAAAUUUUUGCCAAUGGUGUCAAGGACUAUAAUUUCGCCCAAAUGUGCAAUUAAAAUCAACUAAGUGCCGUACUUCUCCAUCAUCAAGGUUUUUAGCGAUCCAUCUUUCGAUCUUUCAACCUCUACACGUUCAACUUCAGAGCAUAUGGCUUAUGGUUCAGAUUCAUCAACUCAUCAGAAAAACAAAUCUCACCCGAUUCUAAUCCAAUAAUUUUGUUUUUCUCUUGCGGGACAUUGAAGAAUCUUGGUGGUCUUUUUCAGCCUUGAUUGCGAAACAUAACGUAGGACAACGAAAAAUCUUGGUGAUCCUUUUCAUGUAGAUUGGAUCCUGCAAAAUGCAUAUCCUUCGUCUUCCCGUUGAUGUACAAUACGGAAGAGGUUGUGAAACAGAAGAGAGACCCACCUCAUAACGUAGGUAUGUAAUUUUAAAUAACCGAGAGAGAGAGUGAUCCCUCAUUGGAGUCGUGAAAUUCAAUUCCUAGGAAUUAUGCAAUCCAGAUAGAUUCGAUCCAUUGAAUUUUAGAUCGAAUAGCCUAUGCUUCAGAUUGAUCAAUUCCUCGAAAAAACAAAUACACAACCAAGUUUGAUCCGAUGAUUUUAUGUUCCUCUUGCAGGACAACGAAAAAUCUUGGUGUUCAUUUUCAUUUGAAUUGGAUCCUGCAAAAUGCAUAUCUUUCAUCUUGCCGUUUGUGUUCUUGACGGAAGGGUUGAUGUGAAACAGAAUAGAGACAAACCUCAUUCCAUAGGUAUGUAAUUUCAAAUAACUCUCAUUGGAGUCGUGAAAUUCAAUUCUUAGAAAAUAUGCAAUCCAGACAGAUUCGACCCGUUGAAUUUCAGAUCGAAUGGCCUAUGCUUCCGAAUCAUCAAUUCCUCACCAAAACAAAUCUCACAACCAAGUUUGAUCCAAUGAUUUUAUGUUCCUCUUGCAGGACAACGAAAAAUCUGUGUGUUAAUUUUCAUUUGAAUUGGAUCCUGCAAAAUAAAUAUCUUUCGUCUUGCCGUUGAUGUACAAUACGGAAGAGGUUGUGAAACAGAAGAGAGACCCACCUCAUAACGUAGAUCGAAUAGCCUAUGCUUCAUAUUGAUCAAUUCCUCGAAAAAACAAAUACACAACCAAGUUUGAUCCAAUGAUUUGAUGUUCCUCAUGCAGGACAACGAAAAAUCUUGGUGUUCAUUUUCAUUUGAAUUGGAUCCUGCAAAAUGCAUAUCUUUCAUCUUGCCGUUUGUGUUCUUGACGGAAGGGUUGAUGUGAAACAGAAUAGAGACAAACCUCAUUCCAUAGGUAUGUAAUUUCAAAUAACUCUCAUUGGAGUCGUGAAAUUCAAUUCUUAGAAAAUAUGCAAUCCAGACAGAUUCGACCCGUUGAAUUUCAGAUCGAAUGGCCUAUGCUUCCGAAUCAUCAAUUCCUCACCAAAACAAAUCUCACAACCAAGUUUGAUCCAAUGAUUUUAUGUUCCUCUUGCAGGACAACGAAAAAUCUGUGUGUUAAUUUUCAUUUGAAUUGGAUCCUGCAAAAUAAAUAUCUUUCGUCUUGCCGUUGAUGUACAAUACGGAAGAGGUUGUGAAACAGAAGAGAGACCCACCUCAUCACGUAGGUAUGUAAUUUCAAAUAACCGAGAGAGAGAGUGAUCCCUCAUUGGAGUCGUGAAAUUCAAUUCCUAGGAAAUAUGCAAUCCAGAUAGAUUCGAUCCAUUGAAUUUCAGAUCGAAUAGCCUAUGCUUCAUAUUGAUCAAUUCCUCGAAAAAACAAAUACACAACCAAGUUUGAUCCAAUGAUUUGAUGUUCCUCAUGCAGGACAACGAAAAAUCUUGGUGUUCAUUUUCAUUUGAAUUGGAUCCUGCAAAAUGCAUAUCUUUCAUCUUGCCGUUUGUGUUCUUGACGGAAGGGUUGAUGUGAAACAGAAUAGAGACAAACCUCAUUCCAUAGGUAUGUAAUUUCAAAUAACUCUCAUUGGAGUCGUGAAAUUCAAUUCUUAGAAAAUAUGCAAUCCAGACAGAUUCGACCCGUUGAAUUUCAGAUCGAAUGGCCUAUGCUUCCGAAUCAUCAAUUCCUCACCAAAACAAAUCUCACAACCAAGUUUGAUCCAAUGAUUUUAUGUUCCUCUUGCAGGACAACGAAAAAUCUGUGUGUUAAUUUUCAUUUGAAUUGGAUCCUGCAAAAUAAAUAUCUUUCGUCUUGCCGUUGAUGUACAAUACGGAAGAGGUUGUGAAACAGAAGAGAGACCCACCUCAUCACGUAGGACAACGAAAAAUCU
Molecule: long non-coding RNA, 2316 nt
Organism: Tigriopus californicus
Lineage: Eukaryota; Metazoa; Arthropoda; Copepoda; Harpacticoida; Harpacticidae
Exons: 4
Source: RefSeq, a predicted model, not a curated record